CGCCCCGCCCCGUGAGCGCGCACCUGCCGCGGCUGGUCCGGGGUGUGGGAGGUUCGUCCGGCACCUGGGACCGGUUACUGGGAGCCGGUCACUCCGGGGCCCACCCUCACAGGACUCACCCUGAGGAGAGUCGCUCACUCACCCAUCAGUCACCCGCUGUCCGUCACCUACAGAGCGUUGUCACCCGGGAGGUCACCCAUGGAGGGCCGGUCAGUCACCCGGGUCCGGGGCGAUCUCCUGAGGUGAUCUCCUGCCUUGGCAGAGGAGGGCACGGUCCGAUGGGCGGGCAGUGAGAGCCCGAGGCUGCCGAGGUCGCAGCAAACACAGGUCCCUGCUGAGGGGUGGGUGCGAAGAGCUCUCGGGUGUGGGAGGGGCGGGAUGCUGGUGGAAAGCUCAGAGUGCCCCCGGGCACUGUGGAAGCUGAAGGAGUACACGGGGUGGACCCUUGUGAUGUGUUUCUUUAGACCUCCACGCAGCAGCUAUCGGGCAGUUUACCUUUUGAAAGAUCACAGAAUCACGGGAUGGGCAAGGUUGAAAGAUAUCACAGCAGCUUUUCUGGUCCAACCUCCCUGCUCAAGAAGGGUCACCUGAGUGGCACAGCACUGUGUGCUGACAGUUCUGGAAUAUCUCCAGGGAGGGAGACAUCAUAACCUCUCCGGGCAGCCUGUCACUAGUCAGACGUGGAUGAAAUCUUCCCUGUCAGCCCAUUUGUCUGUGUGCUUGGUGAGCUUUGCCACAAGUGACCACAAUGUUUCUUCCUCUCAAGCUGGGCUCUGUCAUGGCAGCGAUGCUUUGGUGGCCACGUCCCAGCCAUGAGGGUGGGCUCUAUGCCACAACCAGUAGUUCCAGAGUUUGGUAGCUGAGGUCUCUCAACAAUUGUCCCUCAAUGUUGUCUAAUUUGGAUGACUUUCUUCACUUAGAGGGAAAAUGUUUGCAUAGCCUAUAUUUCUCUUUCCUAUUUAGGCUUGUAUUUCCAGUGAAGUUACUUCAAGUUGAUAUAAAUCCCAUCCUCUUCAGUGGGAGGUACAUCUGCUGUCAUGAAUCCCCAGCAUCUCCAAAUACAGCCUGAGGCAGACAAGUUUCUGAACUUCCCCACUAGCUCUGCCAUCCUUGACCACCCCUCCUACUCCCUGCCCCAGUUAAGACUAUUGUUUUUAACCCAUCUCAUGAGUUUUGUUACUACUUUCUUUCUUUUGAUGUUUAUAAAGACUUUUUUACUACCAGUAUGAGCAUCCUUUGCAAGCUGUUCUUCAAAUUAUUUUCUAGUCCUCAUUCCCUGCCAUGAUGUGAUCUGCAGGGUUUUAGAGCUUUCUGCUCUCUUUAUUUUGGUCUCCAUGAGUUCUGCCCCCUCAUUAUCAAAGGAAUUGCUUUGGGCAGAGAUCAUACUAGAGCCUGUCACAAGACACUGUCAAACCACAAAUGUUUAUGAAUGUUAAACACAUUUAGGAAAGCUGGUACGUACUGAUAAUAGCUGUGUCUGUGCAUUUUAAAUUUUGAUACUGUUUUUUCUGCUUAAUUUAGCAAUGAAAUUGUCCUUGGAUUAAAAUAUUAUUUUUAAUUGCAA
This is a long non-coding RNA of Parus major (Great Tit), 1564 nucleotides long. RefSeq lists it as uncharacterized. The transcript has 2 exons. The record is from RefSeq and is a predicted model, not a curated record. Lineage: Eukaryota; Metazoa; Chordata; Aves; Passeriformes; Paridae.